GACGUAGGGCGCGAGCGUUGUCCGGAUUUAUUGGGCGUAAAGAGCUCGUAGGCGGCUUGUCGCGUCGAAUGUGAAAUCUCAGGGCUCAACCCUGAAACUGCAUUCGAUACUGCGCGGCUAGAGUGCUGGAGGGGAGACUGGAAUUUACGGUGUAGCAGUGAAAUGCGUAGAUAUCGUAAGGAAGACCAGUGGCGAAGGCGAGUCUCUGGACAGCAACUGACGCUGAGGCACGAAGGCCAGGGGAGCAAACGGG
This 253-nucleotide ribosomal RNA is filed under the name uncultured bacterium. RNAcentral describes it as "partial 16S ribosomal RNA". It matches the Rfam family "Bacterial small subunit ribosomal RNA", at positions 524 to 776 of the family's 1533-position model. The record is from RNAcentral.